This 426-nucleotide ribosomal RNA is filed under the name uncultured prokaryote. Its description in RNAcentral is "bacterial SSU rRNA". It matches the Rfam family "Bacterial small subunit ribosomal RNA", at positions 355 to 796 of the family's 1533-position model. The record is from RNAcentral.
UGGGGAAUUUUCCGCAAUGGGCGCAAGCCUGACGGAGCAAUACCGCGUGAGGGAGGAAGGCUUUUGGGUUGUAAACCUCUUUUCUCAAGGAAGAAGACCUGACGGUACUUGAGGAAUCAGCACCGGCUAACUCCGUGCCAGCAGCCGCGGUAAUACGGAGGGUGCGAGCGUUAAUCGGAAUUACUGGGCGUAAAGCGCGCGUAGGCGGUUUUGUAAGUCGGAUGUGAAAGCCCCGGGCUUAACCUGGGAAUUGCAUUCGAUACUGCAUAACUAGAGUACGGUAGAGGGAAGUGGAAUUCCGGGUGUAGCGGUGAAAUGCGUAGAUAUCCGGAGGAACACCAGUGGCGAAGGCGACUUCCUGGGCCAGUACUGACGCUGAGGUGCGAAAGCGUGGGGAGCAAACAGGAUUAGAUACCCCCGUAGUCC